Molecule: ribosomal RNA, 269 nt
Filed under: Candidatus Poseidoniia archaeon
Lineage: Archaea; Methanobacteriati; Thermoplasmatota; Candidatus Poseidoniia
Description: partial 23S ribosomal RNA
Rfam family: Archaeal large subunit ribosomal RNA
Source: RNAcentral
GAGAGGAACGGGGGCUCGCAGCCACUAGUUUACCAGUUGUCCGACAGGGCAUUGCUGGGCAGCCACGCUGCAAGGGAUAAGAGCUGAAAGCAUCUAAGCUCGAAACCCACCCCGAGACGAGGCACUUUGACGCCCGUAGAAGACGGGAUGAUAGGACCGGGGUGUACGCACCGAGAAUUAUAGUGGUGCCAGAAACCGCUUCGGUGGCGGAAGGUACCACUUCGAGGUGUUCAGCCCGCCGGUUACUAAGAGUUAUUACUGCUAUCAGG